GCCCAAACCCUAGAUCCCCAUCGCACCCCUCCUCCCUGCUCCCAAUCUCCCCCCCGCCACCACCACCUCCUCCCCGUACCCGCCCCCUCCCGGUCCAGUCCUCUCCCACACACCGCCGACCUCGCCGUCCUCCUCACACACCGCCGCCGACCUCGUCCCUCCCUCCCCUCCCCGCAUCUCCCAGCCACCUCUACGCCCUAGGAGAUCGAGCGAGCGCCCGAGCGCGCCCGUCCUCGCAGCCUCCUCCCACGAUUCCCCGCACCCGAGCCCCACGAGAGGAGCUCCUCCUGUGGUUUUGCACGCCGGCGCCGGCGACCACCAGCCACAGCUUGCCGGAGCCAGCAGAUGAGUGCCACCCUUCUUCUCUGUUCUCUUCUUCCCGUCCUCUCUUUCUUCCUCCUUUUUCUCUCUCACACAUCUCGAUUUCUCUCUCUGUCUCAAACAGUGCACUCCGCCGCCAUGGACCUUGUAGCGCGCCGCCCUGAUGCCAAGUCCCUCCUCGCCGUUCCUGCGCCGCCAAGCCGAAGCCUCGCCCAAGUCCAAGCGCCGCCGCCAUUUGCCUCCUCGCCAUGGCCUCCCCUGCAUCGUCUGCUUCGCGGACAGAGCUCCGUCUCCGUCAACGUGUCCUCCCGCCGUCUCUGUUCGCUGUCGGGCUCGAUCGACUCCAGCAGCACCCCCAUGGUGACGCUCCGCUCGGCACCCGAGGAUAACAUGAAAAGUUCUAUGGAACAAGAGGUACCAAAAGGUGGAGAACAAAAGAGUGAUGUUAGCUGUUGUUGCUGACCUUUUCUCACUAAAGAAUGUCCCUCCAACACAUUUCUCCCUCACUGGUUGUGUUGUUUUGGUUGGUGCCAUCUUAUGAACAUGUGGUGUAAUGAUACUACUGGGUCUAACUUAAUGAAUCCUGGAGAAUUACAUUAUUAUUAUCAUUA
This is an RNA transcript of Triticum urartu, 932 nucleotides long. RefSeq lists it as uncharacterized. The record is from RefSeq and is a predicted model, not a curated record. NCBI's taxonomy places the organism in Eukaryota, Viridiplantae, Streptophyta, Magnoliopsida, Poales, Poaceae.